UACGUAGGGGGCAAGCGUUGUCCGGAAUCAUUGGGCGUACAGCGCGUGUAGGCGGCCCGGUAAGUCCGUUCUGAAAGCCCGGGGCUCAACCCCGGGAGGCGGAUGGAUACUGCUUGGCUCGAGUCCGGAAGAGGCGAGUGGAAUUCCCGGUGUAGCGGUGAAAUGCGCAGAUAUCGGGAGGAACACCAAUGGCGAAGGCAGCUCGCUGGGACGGUACUGACGCUGAGACGCGAAAGCGUGGUGAGCAAACAGG
RNAcentral lists this ribosomal RNA (253 nucleotides) under uncultured bacterium. RNAcentral's name for it is "partial 16S ribosomal RNA". It matches the Rfam family "Bacterial small subunit ribosomal RNA", at positions 524 to 776 of the family's 1533-position model. The record is from RNAcentral.